AGUUACGUUUUGGGAAAUAUCCCCUUGGCGCCACUAAAAUACAGUAUUUUUGAUUUACUGUAAAUCUAAAUACAGUAAAAAAAAAAAUUUAAAAAAAAGAGCGCGAAACCUGACCAAUCACAGAAAAGCUUUUAUUUCCCGCUUGGAGAAAGAAGAAAAUGAAGACACACAGAUGCGAGGAGAACCAGUCAGAUGCAAAGGAGCUGGUUCAUUGUGAGGAUUAACCCUGACAACAGCAAGUGCUCCUCAAAGUUCCAGGUCAGCAAAAGAAGUGGGAAGAUGCAUGGUGCAAAGGAAGAACUCUGGCCUGAACCCUCAUGUAUCCUCCUUUAUU
This is a long non-coding RNA of Cyprinus carpio (common carp), 334 nucleotides long. RefSeq lists it as uncharacterized. The record is from RefSeq and is a predicted model, not a curated record. Lineage: Eukaryota; Metazoa; Chordata; Actinopteri; Cypriniformes; Cyprinidae. The transcript has 3 exons.